UGCGAAGUAAUUAACCUACACUUUACCAAAAACUCUUGUCUGCAAACAGACGUCGCCCUUCCCAUGCUCAUCUUCUUCUGAUCUUUGUACUUUGGCGGAUUACUCUGGUGAAUUGGAGAUGAAAGUAGAAGAAAAAGGAGACCUACAAGUCGAAAGCGUGCGCGGGAGCAGUGAAUGAGAGAAGCUGGCGAUAGGCUGGUGACGCAAGGCAAAGGCCAAGCAGAACCAUGCGUUAGGCUGGCGACGCUAGGCUUGGAGCCAGGUUCAUCAGGCGUUAGGCUGGCGACGCCAGGCCUGGGGCCAGGUCCAAUCCGAGUUUUGAAUACUUAAUUCGUUUCCGAGUUUGACUAGGACUUGGCCUACACGUUUAGGUCUUUUCCUACACCUAUAAAUAGACCUAAAAAUGCCACUUGAAGGGACUUUUGCAACCGGAGGCAAGAAUAGCUUGUGGAAUCACCCGUUGGGAGUUAGAAUCAUCGAUUUCUACAUCCUUUCAUCUUUACUUUGUACUUUAAUUAUGCAACAUACUUUGGAUAUUGUUACUUUGA
This is a long non-coding RNA of Nicotiana tabacum (common tobacco), 548 nucleotides long. RefSeq lists it as uncharacterized. The record is from RefSeq and is a predicted model, not a curated record. NCBI's taxonomy places the organism in Eukaryota, Viridiplantae, Streptophyta, Magnoliopsida, Solanales, Solanaceae.